Molecule: ribosomal RNA, 497 nt
Filed under: uncultured bacterium
Lineage: Bacteria
Description: partial 16S ribosomal RNA
Rfam family: Bacterial small subunit ribosomal RNA
Source: RNAcentral
GAUGAACGCUGGCGGCGUGCCUAGUACAUGCAAGUCGAGCGAACAGACGAGGAGCUUGCUCCUCUGACGUUAGCGGCGGACGGGUGAGUAACACGUGGAUAACCUACCUAUAAGACUGGGAUAACUUCGGGAAACCGGAGCUAAUACCGGAUAAUAUAUUGAACCGCAUGGUUCAAUAGUGAAAGACGGUUUUGCUGUCACUUAUAGAUGGAUCCGCGCCGCAUUAGCUAGUUGGUAAGGUAACGGCUUACCAAGGCAACGAUGCGUAGCCGACCUGAGAGGGUGAUAGGCCACACUGGAACUGAGACACGGUCCAGACUCCUACGGGAGGCAGCAGUAGGGAAUCUUCCGCAAUGGGCGAAAGCCUGACGGAGCAACGCCGCGUGAGUGAUGAAGGUCUUCGGAUCGUAAAACUCUGUUAUUAGGGAAGAACAAAUGUGUAAGUAACUAUGCACGUCUUGACGGUACCUAAUCAGAAAGCCACGGCUAACUACGUG